RNAcentral lists this ribosomal RNA (464 nucleotides) under Capnocytophaga granulosa. Its description in RNAcentral is "bacterial SSU rRNA". It matches the Rfam family "Bacterial small subunit ribosomal RNA", at positions 28 to 500 of the family's 1533-position model. The record is from RNAcentral. Lineage: Bacteria; Pseudomonadati; Bacteroidota; Flavobacteriia; Flavobacteriales; Flavobacteriaceae.
GAUGAACGCUAGCGGCAGGCCUAACACAUGCAAGUCGAGGGGGAAGCCCUUCGGGGCGGAAACCGGCGCACGGGUGCGUAACGCGUAUGCAACCUACCUUUCACAGGGGGAUAGCCCGAAGAAAUUUGGAUUAUACCCCAUAAUAUUAUUGGAUGGCAUCAUUUGAUAAUUAAAAUUACGAUGGUGAAAGAUGGGCAUGCGUCCUAUUAGCUAGUUGGAGUGGUAACGGCACCCCAAGGCUACGAUAGGUAGGGGUCCUGAGAGGGAGAUCCCCCACACUGGUACUGAGACAGGGACCAGACUCCUACGGGAGGCAGCAGUGAGGAAUAUUGGUCAAUGGUCGGAAGACUGAACCAGCCAUGCCGCGUGCAGGAAGAAUGCCUUAUGGGUUGUAAACUGCUUUUAUAUGGGAAGAAUAAGGAGUACGUGUACUUUGAUGACGGUACCAUAAAUAAGCCGGCUAA